Non-coding RNA from Zootermopsis nevadensis, 361 nucleotides. Lineage: Eukaryota; Metazoa; Arthropoda; Insecta; Blattodea; Termopsidae. The record is from RefSeq and is a predicted model, not a curated record.
UCACGUACCCCAGGUUAAAUACCACUGGCAUAGACGAUGCGAUCUCGGUGUUCCAGUUCCCAUUAUGAAUCCACCCAUUUUUAUCUCCUCACAGGAUUGCGUGAUUUUUAAAAAUGUCAUAUCCAGGUAUUUUUCCUCUUUUCCCGACGUUCUGUACUGCACAGCGUGACCCAGUUCGUUAAUGGCGUACAAAUAAGAAUGGCGUAGCGCUUGACAGCCACUGGGUAAUGAUAGGACAACACAGGAGGUCUCUGCAGACCAGACAGUAAAGAAGAUGCAGAUUACUAUUAUUCCAACGAUGAUGACAGGGAUUAUGAUGAAGAUGAGCAGGACGACUCUUAUACUGGAUCGCCGCCUGUAA